This is a non-coding RNA of Erythranthe guttata (spotted monkey flower), 1823 nucleotides long. NCBI's taxonomy places the organism in Eukaryota, Viridiplantae, Streptophyta, Magnoliopsida, Lamiales, Phrymaceae. The record is from RefSeq and is a predicted model, not a curated record.
UUACCGCUAGUGCCAAUUACACUUAAUUGUAAAUAUUUACAAGAAUUUGAGUGGUAACUAAAAUUACGCUAAGCAGACGGUAUUGAUAUUAUGAUAAAGGUGAGGGGGGAACAUGAACUAAAAUUAAAAAUACCCUAUUAAAAAUUAAAAUAACCCAAUUAAAAAAGAAAAUGACCCUAAAAACAUUCAUGUACACAAAUUGCACGAGUCAAUCGGAGACAAAGCGCGAUUCGAGGUGCAUUUAAAGGUGAAUUUCAUUUCGUUGACAUCUGCAUUUCAGUUCGCUCGUUUUCUCUGCUCCAUUUAUUUGAAACGUGAGACGCUCAACUCUGGGAACAACAGAAACAUCCUCCCAUUUCUCGAAAUACGCGUCGUCGUCAUUCGAUCCAUUAUUCUUAUUAAUCCACUUCUCCCAACAAAAUUAAGCUCAACAACUAAAUGGCUGACGGCGAGGAUAUUCAACCCCUUGUUUGUGACAAUGGAACAGGAAUGGUCAAGGCUGGAUUUGCUGGAGAUGAUGCUCCGAGAGCCGUGUUCCCUAGCAUUAUCGGUCGCCCACGUCACACAGGUGUAAUGGUUGGAAUGGGGCAGAAAGAUGCAUAUGUUGGGGACGAGGCCCAGUCGAAGAGGGGUAUUCUCUCUCUCAAGUACCCAAUUGAACAUGGUAUUGUUAACAAUUGGGAUGACAUGGAGAAGAUUUGGCAUCACACUUUCUAUAACGAACUCCGUGUUGCUCCGGAGGAGCAUCCAGUUCUUCUCACUGAAGCACCUCUCAACCCCAAGGCUAAUCGUGAAAAGAUGACUCAGAUCAUGUUCGAGACUUUCAAUCCCCCGCUGUGUAUGUUGCUAUCCAGGCUGUUCUCUCCCUCUAUGCCAGUGGUCGUACUACUGGUAUUGUGAUGGACUCAGGUGAUGGUGUGAGCCACACAGUUCCGAUUUACGAAGGGUACUCUCUCCCCCAUGCUAUUCUCCGUCUCGACCUUGCUGGGCGUGACCUCACGGACCAGCUGGCGAAAAUCCUCACCGAGCGUGGGUACAGUUUCACCACCUCAGCUGAGAAGGAAAUUGUGAGGGACAUGAAAGAGAAGCUGGCGUACAUUGCCCUCGAUUUCGAGCAAGAAAUGGAGACUGCAAAGACAAGCUCUGGCGUCGAGAAGAACUUUGAACUGCCAGACGGACAGGUCAUCACUAUCGGAAACGAGCGUUUCCGUUGCCCUGAGGUCCUCUUCCAGCCGUCUAUGAUCGGAAUGGAAGCUGCUGGUAUACACGAGACCACGUACAACUCGAUCAUGAAAUGUGACGUGGAUAUUAGGAAGGAUCUGUAUGGCAACAUUGUACUCAGUGGUGGGUCCACCAUGUUUGCUGGCAUUGCUGAUAGAAUGAGCAAGGAGAUCACUGCAUUGGCUCCUAGCAGCAUGAAGAUUAAGGUGGUGGCUCCGCCUGAGAGGAAGUACAGUGUUUGGAUUGGUGGUUCUAUCUUAGCCUCCCUCAGUACCUUCCAGCAGAUGUGGAUAGCGAAGUCCGAGUACGAUGAAUCUGGACCGUCGAUUGUUCAUAGGAAAUGUUUCUAAGCAGAAGCAUUUUUGUCAGUAUCCUAAUUAUUGCUCAGCUCUGGGAUGAGAAUGCUACCUCUAGUACUACCACCGGUUCUGUGAUUUUCCGACUAUAGAAUUUUUUUUAUCUAUUCGUUCGUUGGUUUUCGUGUCUGCAGCGAAAUUAAGCAGUGUUGUCUGUGUUUGUUCUUUUGUUUUGUUUUUCCCUUCAAGGAUUUCUUGCAUACUUGAGUUUGUUUUGCUAAUAAAGUAUAAGUAGAUCGUAUUUUA